Non-coding RNA from Acanthosepion pharaonis, 86 nucleotides. Lineage: Eukaryota; Metazoa; Mollusca; Cephalopoda; Sepiida; Sepiidae. The record is from the annotation of a GenBank genome assembly.
AACCGGUUCUAGCACGAUCACCCAAGUUAAGCAACGUUGAGCCUAGUUAGUACCUAGAUGGGUAACCGCUUGGGAAUACCAGGUGA